AGAGUUUGAUCCUGGCUCAGGAUGAACGCUGGCGGCGUGCUUAACACAUGCAAGUCGAACGAACCUUCGGGUUAGUGGCGGACGGGUGAGUAACGCGUGAGAAUCUGCCCUCAGGAGGGGGAUAACGGUUGGAAACGACCGCUAAUACCCCAUAUGCCGCGAGGUGAAAUGAAUUUCGCCUGAGGAUGAGUUCGCGUCUGAUUAGUUAGUUGGUGGGGUAAAGGCCUACCAAGACAUCGAUCAGUAGCUGGUCUGAGAGGAUGAUCAGCCACACUGGGACUGAGACACGGCCCAGACUCCUACGGGAGGCAGCAGUGGGGAAUUUUCCGCAAUGGGCGAAAGCCUGACGGAGCAACGCCGCGUGAGGGAUGAAGGCCUCUGGGCUGUAAACCUCUUUUAUCAAGGAAGAAGAUCUGACGGUACUUGAUGAAUAAGCCACGGCUAAUUCCGUGCCAGCAGCCGCGGUAAUACGGGAGUGGCAAGCGUUAUCCGGAAUUAUUGGGCGUAAAGCGUCCGCAGGCGGUCUGUCAAGUCUGCUGUUAAAGCGUGGAGCUUAACUCCAUUUCGGCAGUGGAAACUGACAGACUAGAGUGUGGUAGGGGCAGAGGGAAUUCCCGGUGUAGCGGUGAAAUGCGUAGAUAUCGGGAAGAACACCAGUGGCGAAGGCGCUCUGCUGGGCCAUAACUGACGCUCAUGGACGAAAGCCAGGGGAGCGAAAGGGAUUAGAUACCCCUGUAGUCCUGGCCGUAAACGAUGAACACUAGGUGUCGGGGGAAUCGACCCCCUCGGUGUCGUAGCCAACGCGUUAAGUGUUCCGCCUGGGGAGUACGCACGCAAGUGUGAAACUCAAAGGAAUUGACGGGGGCCCGCACAAGCGGUGGAGUAUGUGGUUUAAUUCGAUGCAACGCGAAGAACCUUACCAGGGUUUGACAUCCUGCGAAUCUCUUGGAAACGAGAGAGUGCCUUCGGGAACGCAGUGACAGGUGGUGCAUGGCUGUCGUCAGCUCGUGUCGUGAGAUGUUGGGUUAAGUCCCGCAACGAGCGCAACCCACGUCGUUAGUUGCCAGCAUUUAGUUGGGCACUCUAGCGAGACCGCCGGUGAUAAACCGGAGGAAGGUGUGGAUGACGUCAAGUCAUCAUGCCCCUUACAUCCUGGGCUACACACGUACUACAAUGCUACGGACAAAGGGCAGCAAACUCGCGAGAGCUAGCAAAUCCCAUAAACCGUGGCUCAGUUCAGAUCGUAGGCUGCAACUCGCCUACGUGAAGGAGGAAUCGCUAGUAAUCGCAGGUCAGCAUACUGCGGUGAAUACGUUCCCGGGCCUUGUACACACCGCCCGUCACACCAUGGAAGUUGGCCACGCCCGAAGCCGUUACUCCAACCCUUGUGGAGGAGGACGUCGAAGGUGGGGCUGAUGACUGGGGUGAAGUCGUAACAAGGUAACC
Molecule: ribosomal RNA, 1446 nt
Filed under: uncultured bacterium
Lineage: Bacteria
Description: bacterial SSU rRNA
Rfam family: Bacterial small subunit ribosomal RNA
Source: RNAcentral